UAAAAUAUAAAAAAAAAUUGAGGACCAAUAUGAUUAUAGCCAAGCCACUCUUCUCCUGUAAUACCAGUCUACAGUAAAACACAAGGGAAGGGGAAAAAUUUUAUGUGAGAGGGGAGAAGCCAUCAGGAGCCAACAAAAACCCUAAAAUCAUCUUCUCCCAAGGCCGCCGCUCACUUCCCCUCUGCCAAAAAAAAAAUAAAAGAGCGGCCACUCCUUUCAUCCCCACCGGACAGCCCCACAGCCGGUCCAUUCUUCCCCAUCUCCAGAAGACACAGGCCUCUAUCUCCCUCACGAUAUCUCCCCUCCCUUCAGCAUAAACAAACCAGAGCCCCUCACUUAGCGCUGAGCUGUCCCUCCUCUCUCUCUCAGUCAUCUCCCCCCAUCCUUUCCCACUGCAGCCUUCACCCAAAUCAUCCUCCCUUAUCCCCUCAGCCCCGGCCACAGAUCUUCCCCUUUUCAGCCCGCAGAUUAGCCCCACCACAACUCAGCCUCCCUACAGACCGACCUCCACUCAGUUCCCUUCCUUUUCCACUCACGGUGGCCAUGGAUGGCCUGCGGAUAAACCAUUGAACCGCUCUCUCAUCCAGCAGCAGCGGUCAGCCCCUUAAGCCGUUCCCCCCGAGUCCCAUCGUCGCGUGUGCAGACACGACACCAGCCACGACAGCUUCUUCUCCCGUCUUCAACCAUCCAGACGGCAAUAAGCAAUGGUGGCGUUGGACCCCAGAAGAAGAAGGGAAGAGCAGAAAAUCGAGAGGAAGAAGGAAGACCGAGAACAGAUCUAGGAAAGGAAUCCACUGCUUGUUGUGUUUUUGGUGGUUUUUCAGGUCACCGCCGGCGUAGAGAGACAGAGAAGAAGAAGAAGACGUUCCCCAUCCACUGUUUUUCAUGCCUUCACCGGAACAAUAAUGGAGCCGCAAUCAAAUGAGUCAUCAUAUAUCUGUUGUCACCUGUUUAACCAUUGGCUUUGCUAACACUCAUAUCCGCCAUCGUUUGUGGAAGAGAUACAGAGUGCACUGUAACUGGAUUUUAAAGUGUUUAUUUUUUUUGAAAAUAUAUUAAAAUAAUAUUUUUAAAAUUUUUUAUUUUAA
This is a long non-coding RNA of Populus trichocarpa (black cottonwood), 1088 nucleotides long. RefSeq lists it as uncharacterized. The record is from RefSeq and is a predicted model, not a curated record. The transcript is spliced from 2 exons. NCBI's taxonomy places the organism in Eukaryota, Viridiplantae, Streptophyta, Magnoliopsida, Malpighiales, Salicaceae.